CCGGUUUGAACUCAGAUCAUGUAAGGAUUUAAAGGUCGAACAGACCUUCCUUUAUAACUGCUGCAUUAUAAGGAUACCUUAAUUCAACAUCGAGGUCGCAAACCUUCUUGUCGAUGAGGACUCUCAAAGAAGAUUACGCUGUUAUCCCUAAAGUAACUUAAUCUUUUAAUCUUUAAUAAAGGAUCAAUUAUUUUUCAAUUAUACUUGUUAAUAAGUAUUUAAGAACAGUUACUAAUUAUAUUCCCGUCGCCCCAACGCAACAAACAUUAACUAAAAUCAAGUUAUACUAACAAUUUAUAAUUUAACUAAUUUAUUGUCAAGUUUUAUAGGGUCUUAUCGUCCCCUUAAAGUAUUUAAGCCUUUUCACUUA
RNAcentral lists this ribosomal RNA (370 nucleotides) under Penaeus monodon (black tiger shrimp). Its description in RNAcentral is "partial 16S ribosomal RNA". Lineage: Eukaryota; Metazoa; Arthropoda; Malacostraca; Decapoda; Penaeidae. The record is from RNAcentral.